CUACGGGCGGCUGCAGUGGGGAAUAUUGCACAAUGGAGGAAACUCUGAUGCAGCAACGCCGCGUGGAGGAUGACACUUUUCGGAGCGUAAACUCCUUUUAUAUAGGAAGAAGAUGACGGUACUAUAUGAAUAAGCGCCGGCUAACUCCGUGCCAGCAGCCGCGGUAAUACGGAGGGCGCAAGCGUUACUCGGAAACACUGGGCGUAAAGAGCGUGUAGGCGGAUUAAAAAGUCAGAAGUGAAAUCCUAUAGCUUAACUAUAGAACUGCUUCUGAAACUCUUAAUCUAGAAUAUGGGAGAGGUAGAUGGAAUUUCUGGUGUAGGGGUAAAAUCCGUAGAGAUCAGAAGGAAUACCGAUUGCGAAGGCGAUCUACUAGAACAUUAUUGACGCUGAGACGCGAAAGCGUGGGGAGCAAACAGGAUUAGAUACCCGUGUAGUC
Molecule: ribosomal RNA, 439 nt
Filed under: uncultured bacterium
Lineage: Bacteria
Description: partial 16S ribosomal RNA
Rfam family: Bacterial small subunit ribosomal RNA
Source: RNAcentral